This is a regulatory RNA element of Clostridiales bacterium CHKCI006, 251 nucleotides long. It matches the Rfam family "T-box leader". From Rfam's summary of the family: Uncharged tRNA acts as the effector for transcription antitermination of genes in the T-box leader family. T-boxes are found upstream of many aminoacyl-tRNA synthetase genes and some amino acid biosynthetic genes usually in Gram-positive bacteria. The anticodon of a specific tRNA base pairs to a specifier sequence within the T-box motif, and the NCCA acceptor tail of the tRNA base pairs to a conserved bulge in the T-box antiterminator hairpin. Lineage: Bacteria; Bacillati; Bacillota; Clostridia; Eubacteriales. The record is from Rfam.
AUAAAUACGAUGAAGUGAAGAGUAGAUGCAGGCGGCUAUUUGCAGAGAGAUGACGGGUGGUGAAAGUCAUCAGGCUAAUCGCAUUGAAUACAUCAUGGAGUAGAGCGCUGAACUUAAAGUAGGUGUCUUCGGCUGCUACCGUUAUCAAGCCAAGGUAUGAACAUGUUGCAUGCGUACCUGCUGAGGUCCGUUUUGUGAGAAACGGACGAACAUGAGGUGGAACCACGAAGUCUAGCACUCUCGUCCUCUAU